AGUCGAGGGGUAUGGUUCUUCGGAACCAGAGACCGGCGCACGGGUGCGUAACGCGUAUGCAAUCUGCCUUUCACAGAGGGAUAGCCCAGAGAAAUUUGGAUUAAUACCUCAUAGUAUAGCGACAUCGCAUGAUGAUGCUAUUAAAGUCACAACGGUGAAAGAUGAGCAUGCGUCCCAUUAGCUAGUUGGUAAGGUAACGGCUUACCAAGGCAACGAUGGGUAGGGGUCCUGAGAGGGAGAUCCCCCACACUGGUACUGAGACACGGACCAGACUCCUACGGGAGGCAGCAGUGAGGAAUAUUGGUCAAUGGGCGCAAGCCUGAACCAGCCAUGCCGCGUGCAGGAUGACGGUCCUAUGGAUUGUAAACUGCUUUUGCACAGGAAGAAACACUGAUUCGUGAAUCAGCUUGACGGUACUGUGAGAAUAAGGAUCGGCUAACUCCGUGCCAGCAGCCGCGGUAAUACGGAGGAUCCAAGCGUUAUCCGGAAUCAUUGGGUUUAAAGGGUCCGUAGGCGGUCUGGUAAGUCAGUGGUGAAAGCCCAUCGCUCAACGGUGGAACGGCCAUUGAUACUGCUGGACUUGAAUUAUUAGGAAGUAACUAGAAUAUGUAGUGUAGCGGUGAAAUGCUUAGAGAUUACAUGGAAUACCAAUUGCGAAGGCAGGUUACUACUAAUGGAUUGACGCUGAUGGACGAAAGCGUGGGUAGCGAACAGGAUUAGAUACCCUGGUAGUCCACGCCGUAAACGACGGAUACUAGCUGUUGGAAGCAAUUUCAGUGGCUAAGCGAAAGUGAUAAGUAUCCCACCU
RNAcentral lists this ribosomal RNA (808 nucleotides) under uncultured bacterium. RNAcentral's name for it is "bacterial SSU rRNA". It matches the Rfam family "Bacterial small subunit ribosomal RNA", at positions 60 to 874 of the family's 1533-position model. The record is from RNAcentral.